UACGGAGGGCGCAAGCGUUGUUCGGAAUUACUGGGCGUAAAGCGCGUGUAGGUGGCCUGGCAAGUCGGGUGUGAAAUCCCGGAGCUCAACUCCGGAACUGCAUCCGAUACUGUCAGGCUAGAGUCUCGGAGAGGAUGGCGGAAUUUCCGGUGUAGAGGUGAAAUUCGUAGAUAUCGGAAGGAACACCAGUGGCGAAGGCGGCCGUCUGGACGAUGACUGACACUGAGACGCGAAAGCGUGGGGAGCAAACAGG
Molecule: ribosomal RNA, 253 nt
Filed under: uncultured bacterium
Lineage: Bacteria
Description: partial 16S ribosomal RNA
Rfam family: Bacterial small subunit ribosomal RNA
Source: RNAcentral